GCCCCUCUGCUCAGCAACCCAUGUGAGUGUUUCCUCCCUCCCCUGUCUGGGGUAAGGUGCAGGGCUCACAUGUAGUAUGAAGGUUGCAUUUUGGGCAUUUGGUCUCUAAAAUAUUCACCAUUAUUCUCUUCACCCUAACUGCUCUUCUGUUUUGGAAUACAUACUUAGUAUCAAAUCUAAAACAGAAGGUAAGGAUUUUUAAAAUAAAUUAAUGAUUGUUGACUGAUACAUUGUUAUCAAAGUAUCUAGACAAAGUAAGUAUAUUGGGCCUAUUUAUCUUAGUACUCUGAGUUUUUAGUAUAUUCAAUAAUUUGAACUGAAUUAAUUAGAAUCACAAGAGACAAUACUGUGGAAGGGAAAUAAUAUUGGACUAAUAAUGCUAAUGGAUAGUGAUAUCUGAAGAAAUAGUCUUUGUGUUUCAGUCAUUUUAGAAGUAGCCACAAAGUUAGAAAAUAGAGUUAAGGCAUGCUAUUUAUUGACCUUAGUUAAAAUUUCCAUUUACCAACAAAGUGUGAAGAUCUAUUCCCAAUAAUCCUCAAUUAACUUCUGUCACACAUGAGAAAGUUUUUACUGCAAAUUUCUCUGAUAAAGGACUCAUUUUCUACUGGUGAAAAUUUAUAAGAAUAAGAAUCACUUUCUCAAUUGAUAUGUGGCCAAAGGAUAUGAAUAAGCAUUUCUCAAAGGAAGACAUUCAAGCAGCAUAGGAAAAAAUGCUCCAAAUCACUAAUGCAGAAAUGUAAAUUAAAGCAACUUUGAGGCCCCAUCUCCUACCCAUCAGAUUUGCAUAGAAAAGGGAAAAUGACAAAUGCUGGGGGAGGGAGGGGAAGGGAGAAGGAAAUAGGCACAGUAAUGCACUAAUUGUAGAGUUGAGAAUUAGUCUGGCCAAUCUGGAAAAUAAUUGUGUUCUGCUCCCAAAGUCACUAACUAUGUACACCUUUUGUCCCAGUCAUAGUUUCCUAGGUCUAUAUGCCAAAAAAAAAAAAAAAAAAAAAAAAAAAAAAAAAAGUUGUGGUGUUUAGAUUUGGGAAAUAGGAGUCCCUUUUUAUGUAUAUAUAUAUAUAUAAACCUAGCAGAAUGAUUUAGUAAGCAUUUAACUCCCUUCUCCCUCAGCCAAAAAAAAAAUUCUUAUAUUGUGAAACUUUUGAUGCAUCUGUGCUAUUAUUAAUCGGGGGCAGUGGGGCAUUCCUUCCAGUGGUUUUGAUUAUAACCUUCCCAUGCUUUCUCAUCCUGUGUGUUUCUUGCCCAUGUAUUUAUUUCUACAUUUCCUCUGUAGAACAUCUGGCCAAGACCUUUCUCUAGAUUUU
This 1304-nucleotide long non-coding RNA is filed under the name Monodelphis domestica (gray short-tailed opossum). RNAcentral describes it as "lncRNA (ENSMODG00000049124.1)". The record is from RNAcentral. Lineage: Eukaryota; Metazoa; Chordata; Mammalia; Didelphimorphia; Didelphidae.